GGCUGGUCCAAGUGCAGUGGUGUUUACAGAUAACUGAUCACAACCAGUUACAGAUUUUGUUGCUCCUUCUCUACUCCCACUGCUUCACUUGACUAGCCUAAA
Cercocebus atys (sooty mangabey) is the source of this 102-nucleotide unclassified non-coding RNA. It matches the Rfam family "Y RNA". Rfam says of the family: Y RNAs are components of the Ro ribonucleoprotein particle (Ro RNP), in association with Ro60 and La proteins. The Y RNAs and Ro60 and La proteins are well conserved, but the function of the Ro RNP is not known. The record is from Ensembl. NCBI's taxonomy places the organism in Eukaryota, Metazoa, Chordata, Mammalia, Primates, Cercopithecidae.